Molecule: ribosomal RNA, 1470 nt
Filed under: metagenome
Description: bacterial SSU rRNA
Rfam family: Bacterial small subunit ribosomal RNA
Source: RNAcentral
AGAGUUUGAUCCUGGCUCAGGACGAACGCUGGCGGCACGCUUAACACAUGCAAGUCGAACGAGAGAAGAGGAGCUUGCUUUUCUGAUCUAGUGGCGGACGGGUGAGUAACACGUGAGCAAUCUGCCUUUCAGAGGGGGAUACCGAUUGGAAACGAUCGUUAAUACCGCAUAACAUAAUUGAACCGCAUGAUUUGAUUAUCAAAGAUUUAUCGCUGAAAGAUGAGCUCGCGUCUGAUUAGCUAGUUGGUAAGGUAACGGCUUACCAAGGCGACGAUCAGUAGCCGGACUGAGAGGUUGAUCGGCCACAUUGGGACUGAGACACGGCCCAGACUCCUACGGGAGGCAGCAGUGGGGAAUAUUGCACAAUGGAGGAAACUCUGAUGCAGCGAUGCUGCGUGAGGGAAGAAGGUUUUAGGAUUGUAAACCUCUGUCUUCAGGGACGAAAAAAGACGGUACCUGAGGAGGAAGCUCCGGCUAACUACGUGCCAGCAGCCGCGGUAAUACGUAGGGAGCGAGCGUUGUCCGGAAUUACUGGGUGUAAAGGGAGCGUAGGCGGGAUCGCAAGUCAGAUGUGAAAACUAUGGGCUUAACCCAUAAACUGCAUUUGAAACUGUGGUUCCUGAGUGAAGUAGAGGUAAGCGGAAUUCCUAGUGUAGCGGUGAAAUGCGUAGAUAUUAGGAGGAACAUCAGUGGCGAAGGCGGCUUACUGGGCUUUAACUGACGCUGAGGCUCGAAAGCGUGGGGAGCAAACAGGAUUAGAUACCCUGGUAGUCCACGCCGUAAACGAUGAUUACUAGGUGUGGGGGGACUGACCCCUUCCGUGCCGCAGCAAACGCAAUAAGUAAUCCACCUGGGGAGUACGACCGCAAGGUUGAAACUCAAAGGAAUUGACGGGGGCCCGCACAAGCAGUGGAGUAUGUGGAUUAAUUCGAAGCAACGCGAAGAACCUUACCAGGUCUUGACAUCGUAUGCAUAGCUCAGAGAUGAGUGAAAUCUCUUCGGAGACAUAUAGACCGGUGGUGCAUGGUUGUCGUCAGCUCGUGUCGUGAGAUGUUGGGUUAAGUCCCGCAACGAGCGCAACCCUUACUGUUAGUUGCUACGCAAGAGCACUCUAGCAGGACUGCCGUUGACAAAACGGAGGAAGGUGGGGAUGACGUCAAAUCAUCAUGCCCCUUAUGACCUGGGCCUCACACGUACUACAAUGGCUGUCAACAGAGGGAAGCAAAGCCGCGAGGUGGAGCGAACCCCUAAAAGCAGUCUUAGUUCGGAUUGUAGGCUGCAACCCGCCUACAUGAGGUCGGAAUUGCUAGUAAUCGCAGAUCAGCAUGCUGCGGUGAAUACGUUCCCGGGCCUUGUACACACCGCCCGUCACGCCAUGGGAGUCGGUAACACCCGAAGCCUGUAGUCUAACCGCAAGGAGGACGCAGUCGAAGGUGGGAUUGAUGACUGGGGUGAAGUCGUAACAAGGUA